RNAcentral lists this ribosomal RNA (418 nucleotides) under Rhizobiaceae bacterium BAS335i. RNAcentral's name for it is "bacterial SSU rRNA". It matches the Rfam family "Bacterial small subunit ribosomal RNA", at positions 20 to 486 of the family's 1533-position model. Lineage: Bacteria; Pseudomonadati; Pseudomonadota; Alphaproteobacteria; Hyphomicrobiales; Rhizobiaceae. The record is from RNAcentral.
AGGCUCAGAACGAACGCUGGCGGCAGGCUUAACACAUGCAAGUCGAACGCCCCGCAAGGGGAGUGGCAGACGGGUGAGUAACGCGUGGGAAUCUACCGUACCCUACGGAAUAACGCAUGGAAACGUGUGCUAAUACCGUAUACGCCCUACGGGGGAAAGAUUUAUCGGGGUAUGAUGAGCCCGCGUUGGAUUAGCUAGUUGGUGGGGUAAAGGCCUACCAAGGCGACGAUCCAUAGCUGGUCUGAGAGGAUGAUCAGCCACAUUGGGACUGAGACACGGCCCAAACUCCUACGGGAGGCAGCAGUGGGGAAUAUUGGACAAUGGGCGCAAGCCUGAUCCAGCCAUGCCGCGUGAGUGAUGAAGGUCUUAGGAUUGUAAAGCUCUUUCACCGAUGAAGAUAAUGACGGUAGUCGAGAGA